UUUUUGAUUUUGCUCAGGACGAACGCUGGCGGCGUGCCUAAUACAUGCAAGUCGAACGAACUCUGGUAUUGAUUGGUGCUUGCAUCAUGAUUUACAUUUGAGUGAGUGGCGAACUGGUGAGUAACACGUGGGAAACCUGCCCAGAAGCGGGGGGAUAACACCUGGAAACAGAUGCUAAUACCGCAUAACAACUUGGACCGCAUGGUCCGAGCUUGAAAGAUGGCUUCGGCUAUCACUUUUGGAUGGUCCCGCGGCGUAUUAGCUAGAUGGUGGGGUAACGGCUCACCAUGGCAAUGAUACGUAGCCGACCUGAGAGGGUAAUCGGCCACAUUGGGACUGAGACACGGCCCAAACUCCUACGGGAGGCAGCAGUAGGGAAUCUUCCACAAUGGACGAAAGUCUGAUGGAGCAACGCCGCGUGAGUGAAGAAGGGUUUCGGCUCGUAAAACUCUGUUGUUAAAGAAGAACAUAUCUGAGAGUAACUGUUCAGGUAUUGACGGUAUUUAACCAGAAAGCCACGGCUAACUACGUGCCAGCAGCCGCGGUAAUACGUAGGUGGCAAGCGUUGUCCGGAUUUAUUGGGCGUAAAGCGAGCGCAGGCGGUUUUUUAAGUCUGAUGUGAAAGCCUUCGGCUCAACCGAAGAAGUGCAUCGGAAACUGGGAAACUUGAGUGCAGAAGAGGACAGUGGAACUCCAUGUGUAGCGGUGAAAUGCGUAGAUAUAUGGAAGAACACCAGUGGC
Molecule: ribosomal RNA, 741 nt
Filed under: Lactobacillus sp. H4
Lineage: Bacteria; Bacillati; Bacillota; Bacilli; Lactobacillales; Lactobacillaceae
Description: bacterial SSU rRNA
Rfam family: Bacterial small subunit ribosomal RNA
Source: RNAcentral